This 254-nucleotide ribosomal RNA is filed under the name uncultured bacterium. RNAcentral's name for it is "partial 16S ribosomal RNA". It matches the Rfam family "Bacterial small subunit ribosomal RNA", at positions 524 to 776 of the family's 1533-position model. The record is from RNAcentral.
UACGUAGGUGUCAAGCGUUGUUCGGAUUUAUUGGGCGUAAAGGGUCCGCAGGUGGCCUGGCAAGUCUGAUGUGAAAUCCCGGAGCUCAACUCCGGAACUGCAUUGGAAACUGCCUGGGCUGGAGUACCGGAGAGGAGAUUGGAAUUCCAGGUGUAGCGAUAAAAUGCGUAGAUAUCUGGAAGAACACCGAAAGCGAAGGCAGAUCUCUGGACGGAUACUGACACUCAGGGACGAAAGCAUGGGGAGCAAACAGG